This 497-nucleotide ribosomal RNA is filed under the name uncultured bacterium. Its description in RNAcentral is "partial 16S ribosomal RNA". It matches the Rfam family "Bacterial small subunit ribosomal RNA", at positions 28 to 507 of the family's 1533-position model. The record is from RNAcentral.
GAUGAACGCUGGCGGCGUGCCUAAUACAUGCAAGUCGAGCGAACGGACGAGAAGCUUGCUUCUCUGAUGUUAGCGGCGGACGGGUGAGUAACACGUGGAUAACCUCCCUAUAAGACUGGGAUAACUUCGGGACACCGGCGCUAAUACCGGAUGAUCUUUUGCACCGUAUGGUUCAAAAGUGAAAGACGGUCUUGCUGUCACUUAUAGAUGGAUCCGCGCUGCAUUAGCUAGUUGGUACGUUAACGGCUUACCAAGGCAACGAGGCAUAGCCGACCUGAGAGGGUGAUCGGCCACACGGGAACGUGAACACGGUCCUGACUCCUACGGGAGGCAGCAGUAGGGAAUCUGCCGCAAUGGUCGAAAGCCUUACGGAGCAACGCCACGUGAGUGAUGAAGGUCUUCGGAUCGUAAAACUCUGUUAUUAGGUAAGAACAUAUGUGUAAGUAACUGUGCACAUCUUGACGGUACCUAAUCAGAAAGCCACGGCUAACUACGUG